Molecule: ribosomal RNA, 437 nt
Filed under: Lactobacillales bacterium
Lineage: Bacteria; Bacillati; Bacillota; Bacilli; Lactobacillales
Description: partial 16S ribosomal RNA
Rfam family: Bacterial small subunit ribosomal RNA (bases 1-126)
Source: RNAcentral
UCAGCUCGUGUCGUGAGAUGUUGGGUUAAGUCCCGCAACGAGCGCAACCCUUAUUAUUAGUUGCCAUCAUUAGGUUGGGCACUCUAGUAAGACUGCCGCAGGCAAUGCGGAGGAAGGUGAAAUGUCUAUGAAAUUCUGUCCAGGAUUUUGACUCAAAUCCAAGAUCGUUGAAUGUUUCCGCCAUAGCUCAGUUGGUAGAGCGCAUGACUGUUAAUCAUGAUGUCACAGGUUCGAGCCCUGUUGGCGGAGUUGAGGGGAGUAGGAGGUAUAGUAUUUAUGGCCAAGGUAGAUUUUUUUACUGGACGGAAAACGUCUUCUGGUAAUAAUCGUUCUCAUGCUAUGAACAAAACAAAGCGUACAGUAAAGCCAAAUUUACAAAAAAUUCGUGUACUUGUUAAUGGAAAGCCUAAAAGAGUAUGGGUUUCAGCACGUGCUUU